This 254-nucleotide ribosomal RNA is filed under the name uncultured bacterium. RNAcentral's name for it is "partial 16S ribosomal RNA". It matches the Rfam family "Bacterial small subunit ribosomal RNA", at positions 524 to 776 of the family's 1533-position model. The record is from RNAcentral.
GACGUAGGGCGCGAGCGUUGUCCGGAUUAUUGGGCGUAAAGAGCUCGUAGGCGGCUUGUCGCGUCGUCCGUGAAAACCUGCGGCUCAACUGCAGGCUGGCGGUCGAUACGGGCAGGCUGGAGUUCGGUAGGGGAGACUGGAAUCUGGUGUAGCGGUGAAAUGCGCAGAUAUCAGGAGGAACACCGGUGGCGAAGGCGGGGUCUCUGGGGCAGUAACUGACGCUGAGGAGCGAAAAGCGUGGGGGAGCGAACAGG